RNAcentral lists this long non-coding RNA (1163 nucleotides) under Jatropha curcas. Its description in RNAcentral is "long non-coding RNA (JCUR_LNC000682)". Lineage: Eukaryota; Viridiplantae; Streptophyta; Magnoliopsida; Malpighiales; Euphorbiaceae. The record is from RNAcentral.
UUUCCUAAUAAUGAGUUGGUGGUGGCGGAGAGGCAUAAAUGUAAACUGGAGGUGGAGGUGACUUCACAGGUGGUGGUGGGGAGUGGUAGUAGUAGGGGGGAGGGGGUGACUUCACAGGUGGGGGUGGUGAGUGGUAGUAGUAGGGAGGAGGGGGUGACUUCACUGGUGGGGGUGGUGAGUGGUAGUAGUAGGGGGGAGGCGGUGAUUUUACUGGUGGGGGUGGUGAGUGAUAGUAGUAAGGAGGAGGAGGUGACUUCACAGGUGGAGGUGGGGAGUGGUAGUAAUAUGGAGGAGGGGGUGACUUCACCGGUGGCGGCGGUGAGUGGUAGUAAUAAGGAGGAGGGGGUGACUUCACAGGCGGGGGUGGAGAGUGGUAGUAGUAUGGGGGAGGGGGUGAUUUCACUGGUGGAGGUGGAGAGUGGUAAUAGUAUGGAGGAGGUGGUGACUUCACGGGUGGAGGUGGAGAGGGGUAGUAGUAUGGGGGAGGGGGUGAUUUCACUGGUGGAGGUGGAGAAUGGUAAUAGUAUGGAGGAGGUGGUGACUUCACGGGUGGAGGUGGAGAGUGAUAGUAGUAUGGGGGAGGAGGAGACUUCACUGGUGGGGGUGGUGAGUGAUAGUAAUAUGGAGGAGGGGGUGAUUUUACCGGUGGAGGUGGAGAGUGGUAGUAGUAUGGAGGAGGAGGAGACUUCACGGGUGGAGGUGGAGAGUGGUAGUAGUACGGAGGAGGGGGAGACUUCACCGGUGGAGGUGGAGAGUGGUAGUAGUACGGAGGAGGAGGUGACUUCACGGGUGGAGGUGGAGAGUGAUAAUAGUACGGAGGAGGAGGUGACUUCACUGGUGGUGGUGGAGAGUGAUAAUAGUAUGGGGGAGGAGGUGACUUCACUGGUGGUGGUGGAGAGUGAUAGUAAUAUGGGGGAGGAGGUGAUUUCACUGGUGGAGGUGGAGAAUGGUAAUAGUAUGGAGGAGGUGGUGACUUUACUGGUGGUGGUGGAGAAGUGUAGUAGUAAGGAGCAGGUGUGGGCUCGGGUUUAGGCUUCUUACACUCCUCGUAAGGAGUUUUAGGAGCAUAAGCAAAUGGCUUAGCUUGAAGAACAACUUCAUACUUUGUCUUGGACUUAACCUUAAGCUCGGCACCCUUAUCACCCAUGUGUAGGUCAGUUGGG